RNAcentral lists this ribosomal RNA (1435 nucleotides) under uncultured organism. RNAcentral's name for it is "16S ribosomal RNA". It matches the Rfam family "Bacterial small subunit ribosomal RNA". The record is from RNAcentral.
UUAACACAUGCAAGUCGAGGGGCAGCAUGGUCUUAGCUUGCUAAGGCCGAUGGCGACCGGCGCACGGGUGAGUAACACGUAUCCAACCUGCCGUCUACUCUUGGACAGCCUUCUGAAAGGAAGAUUAAUACAAGAUGGCAUCAUGAGUCCGCAUGUUCACAUGAUUAAAGGUAUUCCGGUAGACGAUGGGGAUGCGUUCCAUUAGAUAGUAGGCGGGGUAACGGCCCACCUAGUCUUCGAUGGAUAGGGGUUCUGAGAGGAAGGUCCCCCACAUUGGAACUGAGACACGGUCCAAACUCCUACGGGAGGCAGCAGUGAGGAAUAUUGGUCAAUGGGUGAGAGCCUGAACCAGCCAAGUAGCGUGAAGGAUGACUGCCCUAUGGGUUGUAAACUUCUUUUAUAAAGGAAUAAAGUCGGGUAUGGAUACCCGUUUGCAUGUACUUUAUGAAUAAGGAUCGGCUAACUCCGUGCCAGCAGCCGCGGUAAUACGGAGGAUCCGAGCGUUAUCCUGAUUUAUUGGGUUUAAAGGGAGCGUAGAUGGAUGUUUAAGUCAGUUGUGAAAGUUUGCGGCUCAACCGUAAAAUUGCAGUUGAUACUGGAUAUCUUGAGUGCAGUUGAGGCAGGCGGAAUUCGUGGUGUAGCGGUGAAAUGCUUAGAUAUCACGAAGAACUCCGAUUGCGAAGGCAGCCUGCUAAGCUGCAACUGACAUUGAGGCUCGAAAGUGUGGGUAUCAAACAGGAUUAGAUACCCUGGUAGUCCACACGGUAAACGAUGAAUACUCGCUGUUUGCGAUAUACUGCAAGCGGCCAAGCGAAAGCGUUAAGUAUUCCACCUGGGGAGUACGCCGGCAACGGUGAAACUCAAAGGAAUUGACGGGGGCCCGCACAAGCGGAGGAACAUGUGGUUUAAUUCGAUGAUACGCGAGGAACCUUACCCGGGCUUAAAUUGCAGAUGAAUUACGGUGAAAGCCGUAAGCCGCAAGGCAUCUGGGAAGGUGCUGCAUGGUUGUCGUCAGCUCGUGCCGUGAGGUGUCGGCUUAAGUGCCAUAACGAGCGCAACCCUUGUUGUCAGUUACUAACAGGUUCCGCUGAGGACUCUGACAAGACUGCCAUCGUAAGAUGUGAGGAAGGUGGGGAUGACGUCAAAUCAGCACGGCCCUUACGUCCGGGGCUACACACGUGUUACAAUGGGGGGUACAGAGGGCCGCUACCACGCGAGUGGAUGCCAAUCCCCAAAACCUCUCUCAGUUCGGACUGGAGUCUGCAACCCGACUCCACGAAGCUGGAUUCGCUAGUAAUCGCGCAUCAGCCACGGCGCGGUGAAUACGUUCCCGGGCCUUGUACACACCGCCCGUCAAGCCAUGGGAGCCGGGGGUACCUGAAGUGCGUAACCGCGAGGAGCGCCCUAGGGUAAAACUGGUGACUGGGGCUAAGUC